RNAcentral lists this ribosomal RNA (1946 nucleotides) under Clostridioides difficile. Its description in RNAcentral is "bacterial LSU rRNA". It matches the Rfam family "Bacterial large subunit ribosomal RNA", at positions 292 to 2259 of the family's 2925-position model. Lineage: Bacteria; Bacillati; Bacillota; Clostridia; Peptostreptococcales; Peptostreptococcaceae. The record is from RNAcentral.
UUGGGGUUGCGGACAUAUCAUAACGAAGAGGUAUCGUAAUUGAAGAGGUUUGGAAAGACCCACCACAGAAGGUAAUAGUCCUGUAUGUUAAACGAGAAGACUUCAGAUAUGAUCCAGAGUACCACGGGACACGUGAAACCCUGUGGGAAGCAGGAGGGACCACCCUCCAAGGCUAAAUACUACCUAGUGACCGAUAGCGUAUAGUACCGUGAGGGAAAGGUGAAAAGAACCCCGGGAGGGGAGUGAAAUAGAACCUGAAACCCUGCACUUACAAGCUGUGGAAGCACAUUUCUUGUGUGACCGCGUACUUUUUGUAGAACGGGCCAACGAGUUACGUUAAGUAGCAAGGUUAAGCACUUAAGGUGCGGAGCCGUAGCGAAAGCGAGUUUUAACUGAGCGUUCAGUUACUUGACGUAGACCCGAAACCGGGCGACCUACCCAUGAGCAGGAUGAAGCGAAAGUAAAAUUUCGUGGAGGUCCGAACCCACGAGCGUUGAAAAGCUCGGGGAUGACUUGUGGGUAGCGGUGAAAUUCCAAUCGAGCCCGGAGAUAGCUGGUUCUCCCCGAAAUAGCUUUAGGGCUAGCCUCAAGGUGAGAGAUACGGAGGUAGAGCACUGAAUGUCCUAGGGGGUAUUGCACCUACCGAAGACUAUCAAACUCCGAAUGCCGUCAUCUUAUACUUGGGAGUCAGACUGUGGGUGAUAAGAUUCAUAGUCGAAAGGGCAACAGCCCAGAUCGUCAGCUAAGGUCCCUAAAUGUAAGUUAAGUGGUAAAGGAUGUGGGAUUGCACAGACAACCAGGAUGUUGGCUUAGAAGCAGCCACUCAUUCAAAGAGUGCGUAAUAGCUCACUGGUCGAGUGAUCCUGCGCCGAAGAUUUCCGGGGCUAAAACUUACUACCGAAGCUACGGCAUCAGUAAUGAUGGGUAGGGGAGCUUCCCAUACGGGUUGAAGCAUGACCGUAAGGACAUGUGGACAGUAUGGGAGUGAGAAUGUUGGCAUGAGUAGCGAGAUGUGGGUGAGAAUCCCACAGGCCGUAAACCCAAGGUUUCCAGGGGAAGGUUCGUCCGCCCUGGGUUAGUCGGGACCUAAGCUGAGGCCGAAAGGCGUAGGUGAUGGACAACAGGUUGAUAUUCCUGUACUACCGAUAACCGUUUGAGAGAAGGGAUGACACAGUAGGAUAAGCUAAGCACACUGUUGGUUAUGUGUGCCCAAGCAUUGAGGCAGUCAAAGUAGGCAAAUCCGCUUUGAUAAUGCUGGGAUGUGAUGGGGAGCGAAAUUUAGUAGCGAAGUAGCUGAUUUCACACUGUCAAGAAAAGUCUCUAUCGAGGUUAAAGGUACCCGUACCGCAAACCGACACAGGUGGGUGAGGAGAGUAUCCUAAGGCCAGCGAGAGAACUGUUGUUAAGGAACUCGGCAAAAUGACCCCGUAACUUAGGGAUAAGGGGUGCCACCAUCAGGUGGCCGCAGAGAAUAGGCCCAAGCGACUGUUUACCAAAAACAUAGGUUUCUGCUAAGUCGCAAGACGAUGUAUAGGAGCUGACGCCUGCCCGGUGCUGGAAGGUUAAGGGGAUCUGUUAGAGCAAUCGAAGCAGUGAACUUAAGCCCCAGUAAACGGCGGCCGUAACUAUAACGGUCCUAAGGUAGCGAAAUUCCUUGUCGGGUAAGUUCCGACCCGCACGAAAGGCGUAACGAUUUGGGCACUGUCUCAACAACAGACUCGGUGAAAUUGUAAUUCCGGUGAAGAUGCCGGAUACCUGCGACAGGACGGAAAGACCCCAUGGAGCUUUACUGUAGCUUGACAUUGGGUCUUGGUACUACAUGUACAGGAUAGGUGGGAGGCUUUGAAACCAGGACGCCAGUUUUGGCGGAGCCAUCCUUGGGAUACCACCCUUGUAGUACUGGGACUCUAACCAUAGGCCAUGAAUCUGGUCUUGGGACACUGUCA